GAUGAACGCUGGCGGCGUGCCUAAUACAUGCAAGUCGAGCGAACAGACGAGGAGCUUGCUCCUCUGACGUUAGCGGCGGACGGGUGAGUAACACGUGGAUAACCUACCUAUAAGACUGGGAUAACUUCGGGAAACCGGAGCUAAUACCGGAUCAUAUAUUGAACCGCAUGGUUCAAUAGUGAAAGACGGUUUUGCUGUCACUUAUAGAUGGAUCCGCGCCGCAUUAGCUAGUUGGUAAGGUAACGGCUUACCAAGGCAACGAUGCGUAGCCGACCUGAGAGGGUGGUCGGCCACACUGGAGCGGGGACACGGUCCAGACUCCUACGGGAGGCAGCAGUAGGGAAUCUUCCGCAAUGGGCGAAAGCCUGACGGAGCAACGCCGCGUGAGUGAUGAAGGUCUUCGGAUCGUAAAACUCUGUUAUUAGGGAAGAACAAAUGUGUAAGUAACUAUGCACGUCUCGACGGUACCUAAUCAGAAAGCCACGGCUAACUACGUG
RNAcentral lists this ribosomal RNA (497 nucleotides) under uncultured bacterium. RNAcentral describes it as "partial 16S ribosomal RNA". It matches the Rfam family "Bacterial small subunit ribosomal RNA", at positions 28 to 507 of the family's 1533-position model. The record is from RNAcentral.